CCGCGGUAAUUCCAGCUCCAAUAGCGUAUAUUAAAGUUGUUGCAGUUAAAAGCUCGUAGUUGAAUUUCGGGAUCAGUACGCUGGUCGUGCCUUAGGUAUGCACUGGUGUCACUGGUUCCUCCCUUCUGAAGAACUGUCAUGCCAUUAAUUUGGUGUGGCGGGAAUCAGGACUGUUACUUUGAAAAAUUAGAGUGUUUAAAGCAGGCUCGCGCUUGAAUACAUUAGCAUGGAAUAAUGAAAUAGGACGUUUGAUCCUAUUUUGUUGGUUUCUAGGAUCGACGUAAUGAUUAAUAGGGAUAGUUGGGGGCAUUAGUAUUCAAUUGUCAGAGGUGAAAUUCUUGGAUUUAUUGAAGACUAACUACUGCGAAAGCAUUUGCCAAGGAUGUUUUCAUUAAUCAAGAACGAAAGUUAGGGGGAUCGAAGACGAUCAGAUACCGUCGUAGUCUUAACCAUAAACUAUGCCGACUAGGGAUCGGAUGAUGUUAUUUUUAAUGACUCAUUCGGCGCCUUACG
RNAcentral lists this ribosomal RNA (513 nucleotides) under uncultured Glomus. Its description in RNAcentral is "SSU rRNA". It matches the Rfam family "Eukaryotic small subunit ribosomal RNA", at positions 574 to 1092 of the family's 1831-position model. The record is from RNAcentral. Lineage: Eukaryota; Fungi; Glomeromycota; Glomeromycetes; Glomerales; Glomeraceae.